RNAcentral lists this small RNA (3060 nucleotides) under Pongo abelii (Sumatran orangutan). RNAcentral describes it as "processed transcript". Lineage: Eukaryota; Metazoa; Chordata; Mammalia; Primates; Hominidae. The record is from RNAcentral.
AGUGCCGUGGCUGGAGCUGCUCGCCCGAUUCCCCACCUAAAGGGCCCGAAGGAUGGGGCCACGGCCCAUGUGCGGUCCAGAUCCUGCACCUGCUCCUGUGCCGCUCUUUCCAGCUGGCUUACCUCUUACAGCACCCUGAGGAGCGGGCACAGCCAGAGCCCUGCCCAGGGCCCACAGGGGAGGUGCCCCUAAAGCCACUGUCCAGCUCCGGGGGCCUGGUGCGGGAGCCCUUCGGCCGUGAUCAACUCUCUCAGAACGUCCAUGCACUGGUCUCCUUCCGGCGGCUGCCAGCAGAAGGGCUGGUAGGCAGUGGGGUACGCAGCACCCCAGCCAAGGAGUGGGCAGUGGACAAGGGAACUGGAAGGAGCUGCCAGAGUCGGAAGGCCGUGCCCGCCAUGCCCGCCUGGGGAAUCCCUACUGCUCGCCCACGCUGGUGCGCAAGAAGGCCAUUCGCAGCAAGGUGAUCCGCUCGGGGGCCUACCGCGGCUGCACCUAUGAGACCCAGCUGCAGCUGUCGGCUCGGGAGGCCUUUCCUGCUGCAUGGGAGGCAUGGCCCCGGGGUCCUGGUGGCCACUCGUGUCUGGUGGAGAGCGAGGGCAGCUUGACGGAGAACAUCUGGGCCUUCGCUGGCAUCUCCAGGCCCUGUGCCCUGGCCCUGUUGCGGAGAGACGUGCUGGGGGCCUUCCUGCUGUGGCCUGAGCUGGGUGCUAGCGGCCAGUGGUGUCUGUCCGUGCGCACGCAGUGCGGCGUGGUGCCCCACCAGGUCUUCCGGAACCACCUGGGCCGCUACUGCUUGGAGCACCUGCCGGCAGAGUUCCCCAGCCUGGAGGCUCUGGUGGAGAACCACGCGGUUACUGAACGCAGCCUCUUCUGUCCCCUCGACAUGGGCCGCCUGAACCCCACCUACGAGGAGCAGGACUGUGGGCCCCUGGGCAGGCCGCCCCGGACUCUCCGGCCCCUCAGCCAUGCCAAGUCCGAGGCAGAGCUGCAGGGCCUGGGCUAAGAGGUAGGGCCCCGGUCCCACAGGCCCCACCUCACCCCGGCUCCUGGGCCCCAGCAGCGUCUCUGCCCGUCCUGCACCCCUCUGGUCGCCAGUUCCAUCCAGUCACCCUGCCCUUGGAGCAGUCUUCCAUCGUGUCAUUGUCCGUGGGAGGGGAGCCCUGAGGGUGGGUAUCGCCAAUGGCUUCUUGGAGAACAUGUGGCCUGCUGAGAUUCCAGGAGGGCAGGUGGAGUUGCAGGCUUUGGAUAACCCGCUGGGUGGCUUCCGAUGACCUGCUGGGUGGCUUCGGAUGCUUUGGGACUUCUGGGCUUCCGCUUUACUCCUGGAGCAGGAGCUUGUUCACGGCAGAGCUGUGGCCCUCUCCUAAGGAGGCCAGGCCUUGGGGCCCUGACUGGGAGUCUCCAGAAAGAGGGGUUUGGGGAGGCAGGAGUGAGUUUUUACCCUGGGCAAAGACCUGGAGUGAGCCACCCUGUCUGUGAGAGCAGAGACGACUCCGUAGAGCUUGUGGGCAGGAGGCUGGGGAUGAGCCCCAUCUAGGCGGACAGAGCAGGGCUGUUUCUUACAUGUAUCUGAGAGUGAAGGAGGGGUGGGAAGGUGCAGAGCAGGCAGGAGGGACAGAGGGCUGUGCCUAACGCUCACGCACGGUGGACUCCUGUGUGCAGAAAGGGAUGCGCACCAGCAGAUGAGGCCAAGAAUCUCCAUGCUGUCUCCACUCAAAACCUCAGGGCUGUGACUCCCGCUUUCUCAAAAGGGACGCGCAGGCUCACCCCUUUCCCCUAGGAAUCACCAGGGCACCCCCACUCCCAGCUCAUCUCCUUUAGCCAUUUGACAGGGAGGGGCCCGCAGUGAGCUGCAGGCUUAGAGGAGUGACCAGGGCCCUUCCUAACUCGACCACACGUGGUUUGGUGGCUGCCUUGGGAGGGCGGCUGUCCGAUGCUGACAUUCCCCUUAGCAUGGCGCUGACUGUGCCUGUCAGGGGCCACCUUGCCUCACCAGGCCAGCCCCACUGGGAAUGGGGUCAGUCACAGCAGAACCGUCAAAAGGUGGACCUGAUGUGGGCCCUGCCGGGGGCGCUUGGCCUCAGCGGGCCAUGGGAGACCCAGGGAAACGACUCUUAGUGUGAGGCAGUGGUCCUGCCAGUGACUGACAAAACCAGGUAUCCCUCUUUGUAAGCAAACUUGACAAAUAUGAAUCUACUGAACUCAGUUAUAGAACAAGUUCAUUUUGCAUGAACUUCUCUUACCGCGUCAUGAGCCUGGGGGCUGCCCUCUCCCCGUCUGGGAGUGGGACAGAACUGUUCAGUGCCUUGAAAGUCACAGAUUUCUGACUCCUGGAAGGAAGUGGGCAGUCCCACCAGAGCAGAAAGAAAGGAGGCAAACUUGGGGAGUGAGAAGCCAGCCUCCCAGAGGCCCAGGCCUCGUGUUCCCCACCUCCAACCCUCCAGUGAGGAGAAGGGCUUGGCUUGGGACCUUGUAACUUCCUUGCAAGUUAAGUGAGCUAUCCUGUCACAAAAGAUAGAAGGAACUGCCCUUUGGGACUUCUUUUCACUGGAAACCCAGCACUGGUUUUAUGUUGAGUGAAUGGGAAGCUGGGACUCUGUUUUACAGCCAUCUGUACUGGAGCCUGGACAAAGCACUGGUCUCUAUGGGAGGCCCCAGCCUCACAUUUCCCUGGCAAGGAGAGAGAGGUUUAGUGAUGUCCUGGGCCUAGGAUUACAGCCCAGAGAUGGGCACUUAAGAAGACCUGGUCAUUGGUCCAGACUUGGGCCAAGGCUUUCCUCUGUGAGGGAUGGGUUUUACUGGUGAAUUACCUGUGUGGAGAAGCUAUCAGGGCCAUGUUUAGCACACUGAAGGGACCAGUCUCCACCAAGCACUUUAACAUCCCUCCAGCCAGCAUUGAUUGAUCUCGUGUUACAGAGAGGGCAAGGUUUUUGGCCCCUGUUUGCAGACUCCAUGUCUUAAUCAGAGACCACAGUUUUCUCUUUGUUUCAAUCAGCGCCACCUUGGUAGCCCCGCUUUCCUUGCUGUGUGGACUUGAAACAAAAUAAAAUGUGUUGCUUC